RNAcentral lists this long non-coding RNA (830 nucleotides) under Homo sapiens (human). RNAcentral describes it as "HSALNT0308902". Lineage: Eukaryota; Metazoa; Chordata; Mammalia; Primates; Hominidae. The record is from RNAcentral.
AUGUCCGCUUUUCCCCAUUGGGCUUAAGAGGGAAGUUGAGAGAGGGCUUCCGGUAAGAGGCAGUUAGUAGGGUUAGUUCCUGCUGAUCAACAGAGCAAAAUAAACAAGAGGCAGGGGAUUUGGGAACUUCUUUCACAAAGGGCUGAAAGAACAAACACAUGGAGGAAAAACAUGAAACUUCCAAGGAGCAGGAAAGAAACUGAAGAGACAGGAAUCUGUUUCAUCCUGAAUAGUACAGUCCUAUGAGCAAAAACUCAGACAUCUUUGAGCGAUAGAAGAGACAACUGGGCCGGGGGCCAGUUCAGUGCGGACCUACAUUUCAACCACCAUGAUGAAGCCAUUGUGACAAGGCACCAUCAAUCAUCAUGUCCCUUUACCAGGAGGGCCCGUGUCAUAAGCCACUAUAUAAAGGGAAUGAUGGGUGGACUGCUUUGGACAAAUGGACCUGCGGUAGGAGAGAGGGACAACAGUAGGAGCAGGCAGAUCUUGCUGUUUCAACCAAAACCUCAUGCUGACCAGAGUUGAGGAACAGAAGAAGAUGGUGAAGGCCUGCAGGUAUAGGUGUUCAGCAUGUCAUCUGAAAUAUUCCCCACAGAGGCAAAAAGAAAGGAAAUUAUCUCUGAAAAGGAAUGGGAGGACAAGUCAGCAGAAUAUGUCAAUGUUUUGGUUGAAGAAGCUGCUUGAAUCUGGGCUUUUCUGUGCCAUGUGUUCUCCCAGGGCCAGCACAAAGAAGGGCUUUUGGUGCAGGCCCAAGACCACCAUAAUCAUCAUUGAUUAUUCCUCUCCACGCCAGUGUCUCUAAAUAAACUUUCUCUUCUUUCUCUGACAAA